Molecule: long non-coding RNA, 1017 nt
Filed under: Nicotiana benthamiana
Lineage: Eukaryota; Viridiplantae; Streptophyta; Magnoliopsida; Solanales; Solanaceae
Description: long non-coding RNA (NBEN_LNC038653)
Source: RNAcentral
AACAUAUCACUUAGAAAACAAACAUCACGAGGAUAAACGUCAUAGCUUCAACCACAAAAACUGAACGCUACUGAGCCCUAACCAUUUCAGCUAGGUUCGCAGCAUAGAGGCGAGAGAUACAUAAUUUGAUCGACUCCCCAAUUCUUACACCUUUCUUUACUAACAAAAAUACUUAAAACACAUUAAAAUGAGAUUGAGAGCAAGAAAUUCGACCAAACAGAAAAACAACUCCUAAAUUCAAAAAUUAACAGACACAGAAAAAUAUCAUCAAAACGGGUCAUGGCACGCUUAUUGAAUCAUAGAAUUUCAACUAUUGUUCCAGCCUUAAUCACUUUUACAAUUGUCCACAACUCACAUUCACAGCAGAAACAUAGAAGAAGAAAAGAUGUGAACCUGGAACGAAUUCGUCACAACACUGAAAUCGACACAGAACAAAAACCAAAACAGCAGAAAACCAAUCUUCGAGCACAGCCUCAAAAUUUCUCAAAUGAUUCCCAUUUUUGAAGUCAUAAUCGACAGGAGAUGAAAAUAACAACCAUCAGGGAUUUUUUGUGUUUGUCUAUUACAAAAAAAAUGAAGAAGGAAAGAAACUCUUCAAAAUUCCUCUAAAAAAAAACUACCCAAAAAACUGACCCCUCCGAAAUUCAUCCCAAAUCCCUUUUGAGAACGAAUUCCUGAUGAAUGUGGGGCUUGGAUUGAAUUGAAUUAAUCCAACGCCUCACACUCACCCAGCAAAUCCUUCUCAGAAUCUUCCAAUCACGUACCUUAUCUCCAAAUCGAGGGAGUGAAAGGAACGAGAAUAUUCGCGUCAGAAACGGUUAGAGAUGGUGAUGAGGAGAGAAGGACGAAUGCGUGAGGAGGAAUUUGAGACUUACUCGCUUGGAUUUGGGCUAAAUGGAGGCAUGGUUCAUGUUCUUCUUUGGAGAAGAAGAACAGUCGGCUGGUCACAGUUGAGAUUAGGGCUUCGUGUAUGUAUCCGUGUGUGUAUUGUGCUAACGGGUCGGCUCGGGGGUUAUU